GUGGGGAAUAUUGGGCAAUGGGCGAAAGCCUGACCCAGCAACGCCGCGUGAAGGAAGAAGGUUUUCGGAUUGUAAACUUCUGUCCUCAGGGAAGAAGAAAGUGACGGUACCUGAGGAGGAAGCCCCGGCUAACUACGUGCCAGCAGCCGCGGUAAUACGUAGGGGGCGAGCGUUGUCCGGAAUGACUGGGCGUACAGGGCGCGUAGACGGCUGUCUAAGUCUGGAGUGAAAGUCCUGCUUUCAAGGUGGGAAUUGCUUUGGAGACUGGAUGGCUUGAGUGCGGAAGAGGUAAGUGGAAUUCCCAGUGUAGCGGUGAAAUGCGUAGAGAUUGGGAGGAACACCAGUGGCGAAGGCGACUUACUGGGCCGUAACUGACGUUGAUGCGCGAAAGCGUGGGGAGCGAACAGGAUUAGAUACCCGGGUAGUCC
Molecule: ribosomal RNA, 428 nt
Filed under: uncultured bacterium
Lineage: Bacteria
Description: partial 16S ribosomal RNA
Rfam family: Bacterial small subunit ribosomal RNA
Source: RNAcentral